Molecule: long non-coding RNA, 2170 nt
Organism: Varanus komodoensis (Komodo dragon)
Lineage: Eukaryota; Metazoa; Chordata; Lepidosauria; Squamata; Varanidae
Exons: 2
Source: RefSeq, a predicted model, not a curated record
AGGAAGAUACCAUUCCAGCAUAGCUCUGAGCCCGAGAAUCUACUGAAAUUUUUAAGACUUCCACAAGUCAGCCUGGUGAGAGUUUAUAAUAGUCAUUCCCCAUUAUAUAUUUCUUUAGGUAUUUGUGAGGUUGGGGCGUCAGAAGUGGAAACUGAAGGGCAAGAUUCUGACAGAUGACAGUCAAACGUGGGAUGAAGAAGAAAAGGUUUUUAUACCCAACCUCCAUGAGAAGUUUGAAAUCAAGGUCACAGAAGCUCGGGGACUGAGCACCCUCCUGGUUGGCAUAGUAACUUGUGACAGCAUCAAUUUCUUCACGACUAGCCCUCAAACCAUCAUUGUGGAUAUAACUGAGCUAGGUACAAUCAAACUACAACUGGAGGUCCUCUGGAAGUAAGUACACUGACUGGGAUGCCAGCUGCCAGCUCACAACGUAUUUUGUUUAAAGGGAGUGACCGACUGGCAUUGCUAAAAGCAAUUUUAGCUGGCCUUGAUGAUUAUACCAAAAUUAAGUCAAGGGUAGGACAAAAUGCCCAGUUUCUGCUUGUUUUGGAAAGGAAAGCAUUUUUAAGGUUUACAUCAAGGCCAAAGUACAUUGGGACUGCAUUGCUCCAGGAGAGAGUGAGUGAGUCCCUACCCACUUGUUCUUUGAAUUUCCUCUCCUGCUAUUAUGGAAGUGUUUAAAAAAGGAAAACCUUCAUUAGGGUUGAUGGAGCCCUUUAUCAUUCUUUAAUACUUCCCUGGGGGUAGAAUUUCAGAAUGAAAGGAAUGGUGGUGAGCUCCAGUGUCUGUGAUUAGAAGAACUUUAGGCUGGCCCUGAAGGACACAGAAGGAGAAAGGGUGGGUUCACAUAUCACAACAAACCACAUCGUGGUUUGUGUGUGUGUGUGUGUGUGUGUGUUUAAACUUCAGUGAACCUACAGACAGGCUCAGGGUGGUAACUUUACUCCCUCCUGCCAUUUCCUUUCCCCACAGUCGUCCAGUCAGUAUCCCAGGAAACUGUACAGGGAGGAAUGAGGCUCUUCUCUUUGACAGAUGUGAUUGUGAGCCCCGUUUGGUUUGCUGCAGCUGUCAAGCUGUCCCACUUGCACAAAUAGGGAGAACGCCCAGAUGAGCAGCAGAGGGGAGGGUGGUGAUCUGGCACCCCUGCCUCUUGCCCCAGGGAGGCCCACUGGAGCAGGAGAUGGGGGUGCUUGACCCAUGCUUGGGCAAAAGGGGGAAGUCUGCUGGUCGGUGUUGGGAAAAGAGCAGCACCGCUCAGCUGGUUCCUCACUGCGCUCCUGCGUGUGCCAAAAGGAAUGCAACUAAGCAAUGCAACAAGCCAUGGUGAUACUACGAAAACAUAGAACACAGUGUGGUGGGUUCUCAAAACCAAAGAUACCGUGCUGAAGUACCUGGAUGGGAUUUGGACAACCCCAGUGGUAAAAAACAACUGUGGCUUGUUAUGUCAUGUGAACCCACCCACUGUGUGUCUGUGCAACCCUUAAUGUUGCUUCUCCUUGGGCAUUUUGGAUGCUACGGGGACUGCAUGGCAGUUGGACUGUACCUUAAUCCUGAAGGCAAAUUGGAUGGCAAUUGCUGACAGCAAGCUGGUUGAAUUAUAUUGGCAGUGCUCAACAGGACAAGACCUCUCUUCUUAUCUGCAGACCAAGUUCAGCUUAGGUAGAGCCAGCUGCCCCCUCCCCCCAUCAGCACUCAGCUUCAUUCAUCCCCCCUCUGGAAGGACAAAUGUUGGGGAGGAGAACCGAGAGACUCAGCUAUGUUGCUUUCUCAUAUGCCUUUCGUAGAAAUUCUGAUACUCCCUGUUGGUGGUAGUUCUGGCUUCCAUUUUAAAAUGCACAGUUGCUUUCCUGCUCUCUGGUCAUGCCUGUACAAAUAAUGAAGAAUGGACCCAGAAGACGAAACAAAAACUUUUAAAGCAGCAUUUGGAUGGCAUCCAGAAUAAUGGGCAACAAACUGCUUACUUAGGUUUAACAGCUUUCCCAUACUGAAUCUUAACAAAGCGACCCUAGAUACGUUGCUCAACCCUUCUCGCGUAAGCACUCUUCUUCUGCUUCCAAAGUUCUCCUGACUUGCUGUCUCAUUUUAACCAUUUUUUAGGCCAUCUUUUUUUUUUUUUGUAAAAACUGUUUGCUUAAUGGUUUGUUAUUAAAAACAGGCUUGAAAUGCUGAA